This 501-nucleotide ribosomal RNA is filed under the name uncultured bacterium. Its description in RNAcentral is "partial 16S ribosomal RNA". It matches the Rfam family "Bacterial small subunit ribosomal RNA", at positions 29 to 523 of the family's 1533-position model. The record is from RNAcentral.
AUUGAACGCUGGCGGCAUGCCUUACACAUGCAAGUCGAACGGCAGCACGGGUGCUCGCACCUGGUGGCGAGUGGCGAACGGGUGAGUAAUACAUCGGAACGUACCUUAUCGUGGGGGAUAACGCAGCGAAAGCUGUGCUAAUACCGCAUACGCCCUGAGGGGGAAAGCGGGGGAUCGCAAGACCUCGCGCGAUUAGAGCGGCCGAUGCCUGAUUAGCUGGUUGGUGGGGUAAAAGCCCACCAAGGCGACAAUCAGUAGCUGGUCUGAGAGGGCGAUCAACCACACUGGGACUGAGACACGGCCCAGACUCCUACGGGAGGCAGCAGGGGGGAAUGUUGGACAAUGGGGGCAACCCUGAUCCAGCAAUGCCGCGUGAGUGAAGAAGGCCGUCGGGUUGGAAAGCUCUUUUGUCAGGGAAGAAACACUGGCUCUAACACAGUCUGGGAAUGACGGUACCUGAAGAAUAAGCACCGGCUAACUACGUGCCAGCAGCCGCCGCCG